GGAUAACUAUUGGAAACGAUAGCUAAUACCGCAUAAUCUCUUCGGAGCAAAGAGGGGGACCUUCGGGCCACUCGCGUCAGGAUUAGCCCAGGAGGGAUUAGCUUGUUGGAGAGGUAAUGGCUCACCAAGGCAACGAUCCCUAGCUGGUCUGAGGGGAUGAUCAGCCACACUGGAACUGAGACACGGUCCAGACUCCUACGGGGGGCAGCAGUGGGGAAUAUUGCACAAUGGCGGAAACCCUGAUGCAGCCAUGCCGCGUGUAUGAAGAAGGCCUUCGGGUUGUAAAGUACUUUCAGUAGGGAGGAAGGCAGUGACGUUAAUAGCGGCAUUGUUUGACGUUACCUACAGAAGAAGCAUCGGCUAACUCCGUGCCAGCAGCCGCGGUAAUACGGAGGGUGCGAGCGUUAAUCGGAAUUACUGGGCGUAAAGCGCAUGCAGGCGGUCUUUUAAGCAAGAUGUGAAAGCCCGGGGCUCAACCUCGGAAUAGCAUUUUGAACUGGCAGACUAGAGUCUUGUAGAGGCGGGUAGAAUUUCAGGUGUAGCGGUGAAAUGCGUAGAGAUCUGAAGGAAUACCGGUGGCGAAGGCGGCCGCCUGGACAAAGACUGACGCUCAGAUGCGAAAGCGUGGGGAGCAAACAGGAUUAGAUACCCUGGUAGUCCACGCCGUAAACGAUGUCUACUUGGAGGUUGUGGCCUUGAGCCGUGCUUUCGGAGCUAACGCGUUAAGUAGACCGCCUGGGGAGUACGGUCGCAAGAUUAAAGCUCAAAUGAAUUGACGGGGGCCCGCACAAGCGGUGGAGCAUGUGGUUUAAUUCGAUGCAACGCGAACAACCUUACCUACUCUUGACAUCCAGAGAACUUUCCAGAGAUGGAUUGGUGCCUUCGGGAACUCUGAGACAGGUGCUGCAUGGCUGUCGUCAGCUCGUGUUGUGAAAUGUUGCGUUAAGUCCCGCAACGAGCGCAACCCUUAUCCUUGUUUGCCAGCACUUCGGGUGGGAACUCCAGGGUGACUGCCGGUGAUAAACCGGAGGAAGGUGGGGACGACGUCAAGUCAUCAUGGCCCUUACGAGUAGG
Molecule: ribosomal RNA, 1074 nt
Filed under: Photobacterium leiognathi
Lineage: Bacteria; Pseudomonadati; Pseudomonadota; Gammaproteobacteria; Vibrionales; Vibrionaceae
Description: bacterial SSU rRNA
Rfam family: Bacterial small subunit ribosomal RNA
Source: RNAcentral